AUGAGAAGGGCCGGGGAUGAGGUGAGGAAGGGUGGCGAGGAACUUGGCGAUGGGGACAACAGGAAUUGCUGCUGGUGGCGCUCGGGUCCAUGGGACGCGAAAGCCGAGGUUGAAGGCGAGGCACAUGGAAGGUCUGGGCGCGGCAUCGAGAAGAAACAGGAGGAGAAGCGCGCGAGAGAAGAGGUGCUCCGACGGGACUACUUGCUGACGAUGGCCGGAGAUAGAGGCGGGGCCCUCGGACUCGAGCAGUGGUGGGGCGCAUUAGCCGCACGGAGGCGGAGAGCUUGGGGCGCUGGCGGCGUCCUCAGGAAGGAGAAGGGGGAGCAAGCACAAAUGAAACACACGAUGAUCACGAAAAUAUGGAAGUCUUCUGAAGCGUCGGUCUCGGGGCGUUACAACACUCCACCACUACAAGAGGAUCUUGUCCCGAGAUCUAGGAUGGCACCGGGGAGAAACGGAAGAGGAAGAGGAAUUGAACAUGAACUAGACAAGAUGAAAGGAUACUUGAAAAGAGGUCACGACACUCCGGUUGAAUGGAUAAGCACGAAAAGAACAUGGUCCUCACAAUCCGAGAUGAUGAGUGAAGAGAGCAACAUCACAAUGCUUCCGGAAGAAAGAAUAGAAGAUAGCUCAUUGGAAUAA
Molecule: ribosomal RNA, 642 nt
Filed under: Triticum aestivum (bread wheat)
Lineage: Eukaryota; Viridiplantae; Streptophyta; Magnoliopsida; Poales; Poaceae
Description: partial small subunit ribosomal RNA
Source: RNAcentral